GUUUCAAAUAUAAAUGCAUAAAGCAUGCACUCAUUUAUUUUAUAUCAAUGUGUUUGUUUAAAAGCAAACAAGUAAAUUUAAGACCACAAGAGUACUCAAAUUUUUAAUCUUGCCUGCAGAGUGGUGCACAGGGAUGAGUGGUAAUAAUCAGAGUGCACAUGCAAAUUAAUUGACUUGAAAGUCAAAUUUUGCCAGCACAUCUUUUUAUUCAAUUGAUGAUCCUUCCGCAGGUUCACCUACGGAAA
RNAcentral lists this unclassified non-coding RNA (245 nucleotides) under uncultured fungus. RNAcentral describes it as "sequence contains ITS1". The record is from RNAcentral. Lineage: Eukaryota; Fungi.